UGGGCGAAAGCCUGACGGAGCAAGACCGCGUGAGGGAGGAAGGCUCUUGGGUUGUAAACCUCUUUUCUCAGGGAAGAAGCUCUGACGGUACCUGAGGAAUCAGCCUCGGCUAACUCCGUGCCAGCAGCCGCGGUAAUACGGAGGAGGCAAGCGUUAUCCGGAAUUAUUGGGCGUAAAGCGUCCGCAGGUGGCGAUUCAAGUCUGCUGUCAAAGCACGGGGCUUAACUCCGUUAAGGCAGUGGAAACUGAAUAGCUAGAGUGCCGUAGGGGUAGAGGGAAUUCCCGGUGUAGCGGUGAAAUGCGUAGAGAUCGGGAAGAACAUCGGUGGCGAAAGCGCUCUACUGGACGGCAACUGACACUCAGGGACGAAAGCUAGGGGAGCGAAUGGGAUUAGAUACCCCAGUAGUCCUAGCUGUAAACGAUGGAUACUAGGUGUAGCUUGUAUCGACCCGAGCUGUGCCGAAGCUAACGCGUUAAGUAUCCCGCCUGG
This 490-nucleotide ribosomal RNA is filed under the name uncultured Coleofasciculus sp. Its description in RNAcentral is "bacterial SSU rRNA". It matches the Rfam family "Bacterial small subunit ribosomal RNA", at positions 372 to 876 of the family's 1533-position model. The record is from RNAcentral. Lineage: Bacteria; Bacillati; Cyanobacteriota; Cyanophyceae; Coleofasciculales; Coleofasciculaceae.